UUAUUGCCAAUAGUGGCGUUUGCGCCCAU
RNAcentral lists this small RNA (29 nucleotides) under Bombyx mori (domestic silkworm). Its description in RNAcentral is "ovarian small RNA-36903". The record is from RNAcentral. Lineage: Eukaryota; Metazoa; Arthropoda; Insecta; Lepidoptera; Bombycidae.